Molecule: long non-coding RNA, 4269 nt
Organism: Gambusia affinis (western mosquitofish)
Lineage: Eukaryota; Metazoa; Chordata; Actinopteri; Cyprinodontiformes; Poeciliidae
Exons: 2
Source: RefSeq, a predicted model, not a curated record
GGGGCGGGGUUUAGCUUUGACUGACAGCCCUUCCGUCCAAUCGUCGCACUCUUUUUUUGCUCGCACUAACAGAGCAAAAAUGGCGUAGGAGCGGAGGGUGAAGGAAGGAGAGGACCUUCUUCUCUCCACCUCGCCGUGUCCAGGAGAGGAGAGAAGGGGGUCCGCAAGUCUGAAGUUUUCCUGUAAAAUUGUCGAGUCGUCUUAUGAGAAUAAACCUGGCAGUCCUGCAGGUGAAGAGGACUCUUAAUGUGUCACCGCAGAGGAAGGAUCCCGCCGGCUUUUGUUUACCAUUGUGUGAGGCAGCAGCUCAGAGGAACAGAGGAAAUAUUUCUACAUCAUUUCACACUGAGGUAGAGAGAUGGAGCCGAUCCCGGUAGAAGACCCAGAACCUCUACUUCUGCCGAGCCCAAGAGAACUGUAGCUAAGCUAACCCUCUUUUGGGAUCCUCCCACUGCCUGUCCUGCUGUUUUCUGGGACACUGGAUAUCUCUCUCUUUUACAGCAUUCCCAUUUGUCCCGACCUCUUUCUGCAGCCUAAUCAUCAGUGAGGACCGCUCGCAACAUUUCAGAUUCACAAAGAUUUAAAGUGGUCCAACUUCGGACAUAAAAACUAUAACAUAAAGCACGAUGUAACGACACCUGUUUAAUUUGCUUAAAGAAACGGGUGAUUUCCUGGUGACGCUCAUGUAAACGGAGUUACUUUUCAAACGCACAAGAGGUUUGAGAAUGAGUAAACUAUAUGUGUUUUUUUUUUUUUUUUUUAACGAAGAAAGUAAAGACACAACAUACUGUAGCAAAGAUCAAGCGCCUGUGAUACAAAUUAAGAUUCAUUGAUUCGUUUUCCUUUCUUUUUAACUACCUCAUUGCCACAGUAAGUCCAACGGGAAUGAGAGGAGCAUUUUCUGAACAAAGAGCACCACAGCAGUCACUUUUGUCUGUCCAUCAAUGUUUCAGUAUUGAAGUCGGGUAGUUGGCAGGAGAGCAGAAGAUGAAUAUGCUGUUGCUUAUAUUCAGCAUUAGUCUUGUUUGCUAGGAGGAUUCCUUAAACGUCUUGCCUAGAAAGGAUCUGGUAGAUUUUUAUAGACGGCACAGUAUCUCUAUAAAAAUCUGAAGCCAAAGUGGGUAUGAUGAGGCAAGUGCUUUUAUUUAACCAGUAAUAUUUAGGUCGCUGAAAAUGUACUGCUAAAUUUGGGCUCCUAAUAAGCAGGGAAAAAAAGCAAAGUCCCUGCCAGAUUACAGCUUGCAGCAACGUGUGGGGAAGGGGCCGUGGCUGGAAAUCUCUGUUUGGAGCUUUUUUUCUGGCAUCUCUUCAAAAGCAUUUUAGUGGGGUUUUUUUGUUUUUGUUUUUAGGGUCUUUAAAAUUUUAUCAACAACCGAAGUUUAUUUCCAUCUUGCUGCCGCUCUUUUGGGGUCGAGGAAAUUGGUUAUGUGAUAGUGACACAGCACAGGAUUGUGUGUAGGUUAGCUGAAGCAGAGAAUGAGCGAAGUUGGCAGUAAAUAUCGGCCAAAAUGGGAGGAUUAAUAUCGGGUAUUGGUAUCAGCCCAAAGGUUCACUUCGGUGCAUCCCUACUUCGUACCUUGAUGCUAAUCUCACGCCUAGCCGUGUCUGCGUAGCAUCAAGAGUUUACAUCUCACACUUCUUGCAGCUUAUAAAUGGCUUCCCCUUUUAAUUUUAUUUUAUUUUUUUGCCAUGUACAUGUAUAGGAAAAACAGCAACAACAUAAUUCCAUUUUGCUGGGAUCUGUGCAAUAUUUGAUCUUAACUGUCAUGUUGUUGACCAAACUGUAUAUUGUAUAAAACAAGUGACAAGUUGUUUGAAAGCAACAAAAUCACCAAUGUCUUCCAUUAAGAUAUGUAUAGACUCAUGUGCAUUAGCUUAUUUAGCGGGACUGUGGUGCCAAAAAAACAUCAUAGUAGCCAUGCAUGACCAGUAGUAAUGCUUGCUUCAUCACGAGUAUCGAUUUGUAGGCCGAGCUGAACCUCAAAUCUGUGGAGUCCAUUUCGGUAAAAACUAGGGAGCGUUAGCCUCACAUACUUAAAAACCUCUAGGUACGUCAAAUUUAGAUACCGCUUUAACCUCAAAUCUAGUGCUUGAGCUCUGUUUUAAGGCAUGUAUAUGCUAGUAGGGAAUAUGUAGCAUGACACAGUUGGGAUUCACCAUUACAAAGAGGUGCACCAAUCAUGAUUUUGCUGCUUUUGUACGGCUUUGACCUGCCAACGUCGAUUUUAAUCUUUUAUGACUUCUCUUGAACUGUAACAUGAGAAAAUAUAACGGCAUUCAAAAUAUUUUAUUUAUAGACGUCCUGUCGUGAUUGGAGAUCGAUUGUGUAUAGUAAGAGCCAGAGGAGUCGCUGUAGAAUAAGGUUUGCAAGUAUUUUAAAGUGAAGUUUAAGGAUGUCUAAUUUUAGCUCUUACCAUCGUUAGCACAGCUAGCAUUACAGAAACAGCAUCAAUUGUAUGUAUUACUCGUAGAGAGCGUAGAUUCUUACACCAGCUCUUAAGGCUUAAAGCUCAAAAGGAUAACAUAGCAACCUUCUUCUACUCUGUUCAGCCUUCCUGUUUUCCACAAAAGUCUGGCUCUCUCUCGCCAGACUGCAGCCUUUGAGAGAGCUGUAAACUAUGAAUGAGUCACAGACUACAGCUGCAUUUCCAUGAACCAUAUAAUAACACAAUUUGACAUUUUUAAAAUAAAUUUGCUAAAUGGAAACACUGCACUCUCAAAAAAGCUCUUGUUUUUCUAGAAAAAAUUUGUCUCUAGGAUUAAACGGCGUUUUGGCCGUAGAGAAAUCGGUUUAUUUCGCUAAACUGCAAUGGAAAUACUUCUUAAAUCACCCAAGUCAUGUGAUCAACAACUGGAUGAACAAACAUAUUCACAUGUGAUGUUAAUUGGAUUUCAUAUUUAAUUGAAACUUUAAAAAAUAAUUUAUUAGCAUAAUAUCAACAAAAUUUUGCACACAUUUGGAAUGGAAACGUAGCUCGUGGUGAAUUCUGGAAAGAGUUUGGAUUUUCCAAAAGUGGAUCUCUUGGUGCACCUCUGCACGUGUUAAUGUUUGCUUUGCGUUUCAAACUACAUUUUAGUCUGUAAAGUUUUAACAUAAGAGCCAAAAAAAUUCUUCGAGAACCUAGUCUCAGAUGGGACAAUCUUUACAUAAAUGAUUUAGGAGGAGGAUCUUAAAUACCCAACUCAGCAUCUUGCAUAGGUGAUGCUGUUACAGUCUUCAUUGUGAAAUUGUACAAGUGACCUCAUAGUUUUGGGAUUCAGAGCGUUCUAUUUUAAUCCACAUAAUUGUAUUUAAUUAGAUUUUUUAGAAGCAAUAACCUGAAAUAAUGCAUGAAUAUAGCUCCAGGAGUUGGUGUUAAAAGGACAGUGUUAACAUCUCAUUGAAAAUCCCCCCUUUCCCUUGCUAUGCCUUUGAACUAGCAACGUGUUAGCCACCUAUUUCCUUUUAUUGUAUCUUUAUUUUUUUUAGCAUCAUUUAGUUUUAGUCGUUAUUAAACACGAAAACAGGCUUUAAAUUUGAACUCUUGUAGCAUCCACAAAGACCUUCUCCUCGUCUGCGAGUUGCAGACUUAGGAAUAAACGCGGCUGCAAAAGAACUAGCAGAACGACGCUAGCGUGAAAAGCACUUUCUCUCCACGUACCGACUUGCACCGCCCAUCGUCACCGUCACGUCUUGAAUGCUGUGUUCAGGCAACCCUGUAAUGUUCUUUCUGGUGAUUUUAUAAUCCCAAUUUAUGAGCAAGUAGACGUCCAGGUGAUAUGAAUUUGUGGGUUUAAAAAUAUAUGCAUGAUUUAGCAGAAUAAUGAAUGAAUUGUAUUGCAUGCAAUAACUUAACUUUGUAAUGUGAAUGAGUGUAAUUAUAGGGGGUGUGGGGGGAAGUAUUAUGAUUUUCCAAUCCAAAUAAAGGUAACGCCGACGGUUUUAUCGAUUAGCUGCGAUAUAUAACAAAGGAAUUAAUCAGUUUCUGUGUUUUUUCCUGUUGUGUCACAUGCAAUCUAGCAGUACCACUACAGUGCAGCUCUGCGGUUCUUGUUCCCAUGAGGAAAACUUAACAAGCUUUGGCGAGAUUCCAGAAAUUACUUUGUUGCUCAACUUUUCCACUGAGAUGGUGGGCUGUAUAGCGACUAUGCACUCCAGAGGGAGGAAACGGGCAUGCCUAAUAUGUGUGAGCCUCUUGUCUGGUUUUGUAAUAAAUGAAUAAAAAAGAUAAAUAAUAAAUCUGUAUCAGAAAAAUUUAAGCAAUAAACAGCAGCAUGGUGCCAAUUGAA